AGCUGGGCGAGCUCGUGCGGGCGCCGGCGCCGCCGCCGCCUCCGCUGCUGCCCACCCCGCCGCGCCGCUGGCGCUGCCGGUCUUGCUGGCGGCCGCCGGGGAGGGGCGGCCGAGAGAAGAGCACGAGGAGGCGGAGGCGGCGGAGAAGUGAUGCUAGCGCGGGGGAUCCGGGCAGCGGCAUCGGAGCAGCAGCAUCUCCGGGACACCGGCUGCAGCGUCCCUGUGGCCCGCUGGCCAGCUGAGCGGCGGGAGACCGCGCGCCCCGCGGACCCGGUAAAGACACUUCAAGAACUGCUCAGUCCCGGAGUGGAGGGACUGUGUGAAGACCCUGACGCUUUAUCCUGAGACAAGGUGCAGAGGUUUUCCUUAUAGGGAUCCUGCAGUUUGCUAAGCAGCAGCUUCUCCUGGCACAAGCCGCUGCAAAUCAGACAAACUGAGACCAUGCCUUGCGCCUAGCAGCUGCGCUAAGAAGGAG
Lontra canadensis (Northern American river otter) is the source of this 475-nucleotide long non-coding RNA. RefSeq lists it as uncharacterized. NCBI's taxonomy places the organism in Eukaryota, Metazoa, Chordata, Mammalia, Carnivora, Mustelidae. The transcript has 3 exons. The record is from RefSeq and is a predicted model, not a curated record.